GCCGUUUACGUUACUGGUAGAGAGGGUUCGGCCGGUGCUUUCGCUCCAGGACUUCUGACAGCAUACUGACAAUACAACGAAACAAUAAAUUCAAUAAGUGACAGGAAUAAGAAAAAACUAAAAUGACAGUGAUGACGAUUUGCCAAGCAAUGUAUUUGCUCAUAUAACAAAUGACCAAAAUUCAUAAAACAGUUUCAUAUUUAAUAGACAAAGACAACAUAUGAAUACAUAAAUAUCGCGGUAUCUCCAUGUGAAUUUAUCAAUUCAGAAUUUCAAUACACUUUCGAACUUCCCCUUUUUGGACAAACGAUGCGGUGAAAAAUACCCAUACAAGUUAACCAUUUCAAAGAAGCGUUUGGCCUUAGUGCUAUCUAAUUGAAUAAAAUAAAAUACUAGAAUUUUGAGGUGUCCGUUUACUUUAAAUAUUGAGAGCUGUACACUAUUCGUUUUUAACUAAAUUCAAUCAAUCAAGUUGUGACGUCAACCUUCCGAGACAAAAUAAUUAUACCCACUGGUUCCCACCGACUUUGUUAGACUAGAACAUGAAUCUCAUUAUUCUAUGACUAGGGAACAAAAAUCGAUCCAGUAAAAAAAAC
Molecule: long non-coding RNA, 596 nt
Filed under: Mytilus galloprovincialis (Mediterranean mussel)
Lineage: Eukaryota; Metazoa; Mollusca; Bivalvia; Mytilida; Mytilidae
Source: RNAcentral